This 1435-nucleotide ribosomal RNA is filed under the name Staphylococcus aureus H47183. Its description in RNAcentral is "bacterial SSU rRNA". It matches the Rfam family "Bacterial small subunit ribosomal RNA". Lineage: Bacteria; Bacillati; Bacillota; Bacilli; Caryophanales; Staphylococcaceae. The record is from RNAcentral.
GAGUAACACGUGGAUAACCUACCUAUAAGACUGGGAUAACUUCGGGAAACCGGAGCUAAUACCGGAUAAUAUUUUGAACCGCAUGGUUCAAAAGUGAAAGACGGUCUUGCUGUCACUUAUAGAUGGAUCCGCGCUGCAUUAGCUAGUUGGUAAGGUAACGGCUUACCAAGGCAACGAUGCAUAGCCGACCUGAGAGGGUGAUCGGCCACACUGGAACUGAGACACGGUCCAGACUCCUACGGGAGGCAGCAGUAGGGAAUCUUCCGCAAUGGGCGAAAGCCUGACGGAGCAACGCCGCGUGAGUGAUGAAGGUCUUCGGAUCGUAAAACUCUGUUAUUAGGGAAGAACAUAUGUGUAAGUAACUGUGCACAUCUUGACGGUACCUAAUCAGAAAGCCACGGCUAACUACGUGCCAGCAGCCGCGGUAAUACGUAGGUGGCAAGCGUUAUCCGGAAUUAUUGGGCGUAAAGCGCGCGUAGGCGGUUUUUUAAGUCUGAUGUGAAAGCCCACGGCUCAACCGUGGAGGGUCAUUGGAAACUGGAAAACUUGAGUGCAGAAGAGGAAAGUGGAAUUCCAUGUGUAGCGGUGAAAUGCGCAGAGAUAUGGAGGAACACCAGUGGCGAAGGCGACUUUCUGGUCUGUAACUGACGCUGAUGUGCGAAAGCGUGGGGAUCAAACAGGAUUAGAUACCCUGGUAGUCCACGCCGUAAACGAUGAGUGCUAAGUGUUAGGGGGUUUCCGCCCCUUAGUGCUGCAGCUAACGCAUUAAGCACUCCGCCUGGGGAGUACGACCGCAAGGUUGAAACUCAAAGGAAUUGACGGGGACCCGCACAAGCGGUGGAGCAUGUGGUUUAAUUCGAAGCAACGCGAAGAACCUUACCAAAUCUUGACAUCCUUUGACAACUCUAGAGAUAGAGCCUUCCUCUUCGGGGGACAAAGUGACAGGUGGUGCAUGGUUGUCGUCAGCUCGUGUCGUGAGAUGUUGGGUUAAGUCCCGCAACGAGCGCAACCCUUAAACUUAGUUGCCAUCAUUAAGUUGGGCACUCUAAGUUGACUGCCGGUGACAAACCGGAGGAAGGUGGGGAUGACGUCAAAUCAUCAUGCCCCUUAUGAUUUGGGCUACACACGUGCUACAAUGGACAAUACAAAGGGCAGCGAAACCGCGAGGUCAAGCAAAUCCCAUAAAGUUGUUCUCAGUUCGGAUUGUAGUCUGCAACUCGACUACAUGAAGCUGGAAUCGCUAGUAAUCGUAGAUCAGCAUGCUACGGUGAAUACGUUCCCGGGUCUUGUACACACCGCCCGUCACACCACGAGAGUUUGUAACACCCGAAGCCGGUGGAGUAACCUUUUAGGAGCUAGCCGUCGAAGGUGGGACAAAUGAUUGGGGUGAAGUCGUAACAAGGUAGCCGUAUCGGAAGGUGCGGCUGGAUCACCU